Non-coding RNA from Prunus avium (sweet cherry), 576 nucleotides. The record is from RefSeq and is a predicted model, not a curated record. Lineage: Eukaryota; Viridiplantae; Streptophyta; Magnoliopsida; Rosales; Rosaceae.
UCUGAUUCUCUCUCUCUCCUCACUUCCUCUUCUUCUUCUUCGCGAAACUUCCCCCUCCCCUGUUCUUCUUUUGCUCCAGCCAACAUCCCAAACCGCCACUAACACCCAGCCACUCACCACCUCCGGCCACCAGACCGGCCAAGGAAGUAUCGCAGCCACCUCGGCAGCCCAGCCGUCAGCCGCCGCGAGUUUCAACCCUGCAGAAAAACGGGCUGGUUUUUGCUCAAACUUCUCAACCCUCGUUCUCCCUCCUCCGGUCACCGAAUCGGACGAAUUAGGCACCCGGGCACCAGGUGACCCGCAGGAGGGACCUUCAAAGGGUCCAGCUAGCUCAGAGUAUCUGUGAGUGGACUGUUUGUUUUAUAAACGUUUUAUGCAUUUUAAUUUCAUUAUUUGAUCUUGAAUAAGUUUUACUGAAUACAGCUUUCCUAGCAUGACUUGAUAGAUUUAAAUAUUUCUGUUUAUUUAUGUGCUGCCUAGUGGAACAUUUAAAAAGGGAUUUGGAAAGUUAGAACUGAGGUAUUAUCAGAUUAAAUGGCAGCAGGAUUUAAGGAAUAGUUUUAUAAGUAGUUUUAU